AGGCUCAGCUUCCAUCACCGCGUGGCGGAGCCCGUGUCCGGGCCAGCAAAGACUGCAUGAGAGAGACAGAUAAUUCAGGCCAUCUGGACCCGAGGCCGAUGACCAGGACAGAUGCCACCUAGAUCAAAAGAGGAAGAUAUUUUUAGAGUUUUGAAUGUGGGCUCUGAAAACUUUUAUAUCUUAAGCCAAAUGAACAUCAUGAUGGAUGGUUCAGACUUAACUGGGUCUUUAUCAGGGGAUGGAUUAAAAAGUAAGAAGUCCUAGAAACUAAUUUCUGAAAAUGAGGGGAGCCAGAAUUGCAACACUUCCAUCAAAUAUGCCGAGGCUUGGUCAGCCAGGGCAAUGGGGUCCAGGAUCAAAGAUAAUAUCUGGGCUCAGGCUGAAAAGCUGGUUUUCAUGGAGCUUGCCCAGCUUGCUCUGGGGCCUCAGGUAAGUCACUGCUUUCUGCUUUGCCACUUUGGCAUUGCCAUUUUAUCUGGGACGAGGUGUGAGGAUAAGGAGGAAGUAUUUUCAGGUCUUAGGAAACGAGUCACCACAUUAUAUAAAGAUUGUAAAAAUGUGGCUCUGGUGAACAUUCUCAUCACCGUCACCAUGGCCAAGCUCCUUUGAGAAGAGACCUACAUAAGUAAGAGUUAUUCUUGGGCCCACUGCCCCCAGACCCCCACAGCCUUGGCUGGGCCACAUCCUCUAAAGAAGCUGGGACUGGUGGGAAGUUCGGGGGAACCUGGGUCCCUGGACCCGGGAACUGGACUGCAUCCUCCCCUCAUUUCUCACCCACAUGUUCCUUUCUGUUGCUCCACCAGCCACCCAGCCCCACGGUGGGCCUUGCCUCGUCUGUUAGGUGGUAUUUUCAUCUUUGGUCAGAUGACAGCCCCCAUGCUCCAAAAAUUCUCCUGCAGCCAGGGCUUGGAGAAUCCCGACCCCUCUCUGGCAUGAACCUCUCCUCAUCCAGGGUGGCUUGUGUGGUAGAGCCAGGGGAAUGGAGAAGAUGACCUCUGAAGCCUGAAGGCUCUUUGGGAAGCAGGACACAAACAUCCUGAAGAGCCAGCCUUGAGCUGGCUGCACAAGAGACUCAUAGACUUUGCGUCAACAUCCACCUCUCCAGGCUGCAGUGGGUGUACCUGUUCACCACCACCUCCAGCAGCACUGUCGCAGCGGAGCAGUUCUUACAGCCAAUGAGCUUCCACACCACCUCCCUGCAGUUCUCUGCAACCGAGGCUCCAUCCUGCACUGAUGGGCUGCCUGACACGUCGGCCUCAACAAGCAUUUCCAGCACAUUCUCAGCUUUCCUGCUCUGCUGGGCAAAACACAGGGUGAGAAGGGGAGAGGAAGAACGGGACUGUGGCCCAGUUCUAGGCUUGGAGUCUAGCGAGGAACACCAGGUGCCUGCAUUAAAAGGAUGGUUGGAGAGACAAAAGAGGAAAAUGAAUGCUUCCACGAAGCUCCCUCUUUGUGGCAGAAUCAGUCCAAUGGAGAAAUUCUGAAAUUCCAGUUUUACAAAGUUCUUCAAACUUACCUCAAGGAUGGCACCAGCUGAAGCUCAGUUGCCCUGUCUCUUAUGCACCAGUGCAUCUGCCCCAGAAACUCUUAUCUGGGGCUCAGUUUGCCCCCAUGUGGUAUAAGUCCCUCCAAAGAUUCCAUUUCUAGUUACUCGUCUCAAUGUCACAAUGAGAAAUAUUUCUGCAUAUUUCCUGCAAAGCGUCUCAUUAAAGAAAGUAUUGGUUUGAUUCAGAAAAUGCUAUGCUGUUCCAGCUUCACUUUGGAUCUAUAGUUUUAGAAAGUAUCCAACUCUGCUUCUAGUUUAAGCUGCCCUGUUAAAGAGUUAAUGGAAAAAACCCCACUAUGGUAUGAGGAAGGGGUGGGAAUUAACGUUUGGGUCCCAUUCUGUGCCUAAAACACUGGUUCCCUCUAUGUUUUGAGCCUGAAAUUGAGUCGUUCUUAUGGAAGGCAGAUGCUAGAGGAGCUUUCUUUGGGAUUCUCAUUACCCGUUUCCAUCAGACCAGGCCAUUAGAUGGUUGCUUCUAGAAGGAUGGUGCAGCCCUGAGUCUGCAGGGGGCAGACCGGUCACAAAAACCAGAGUGGAGCUGGGGGUCAGACUGGAGUUCAUUGGGUAGGUUCAGUUCACACCCUGGUGCACAGGGUCCACGAAGGCACAACAAGGCACAGGUGAGAGCCAGGAGGGCAAGCAGGGAUCCAAGUGUACACAGCCCAGGGAGCAAGACAAGCAGAGAGGCCUGGAGCCAGAAGGAGGCUCGGAAACAACGAUGCCAGCAGUGAGCUCACGGGUCAGAAGCUUCUGGCCCAAGGCUUUAUGGAGGCCAUGCCUGAGCUGAAUAUUGGUGGCUGAGCAGCCAAUAAACGGAACACAGAUGGGGCCAGGGCAGGGAAUUCCAGGCAGGAGGAACAGCCAGAGAGCAAAGGCAGGGAGGCUGGAAGCUUUGCUGUGUGAGGAUCUGUGUACACACAGGGAAUGCUUCACAGGCUGUAGAGACAGUGACUAGCUUCUGAGAUCAGAGUAGGCUGGGCUGAGUAAUGGGAAGGGUGGAGGGGGCAGAGACCCACAUUACAGCCCGUGGCCCUGAACCCAGGACAAGCCACGGGGGUGGAGGAGCAGGCAGGAGAUGCUCCACCACUGCUGGCAAGGAGCAGGGCAGCCUGCCCAAGGGGGUACUGCCUGGAGCAUCACUGACUUACCCCAUCUGCUGGCGAGGAUACAGAAGCUCAGCCCACAGGGCCACCAUGGAUGGCCCUAAAGGUUGUGUCCUAUGCAAGGGGACCACAGAAGGCUGGUGCCCUGGACAGUUGGCAAGAGGCUGAGCGCAGGGCAGUGAGGGAUGCUCGUGUGCCUGGGGAAAGCUUCCCUGGGCUUCCCUUUUUUUUCUCCAUCUUCACCCUCUCACCCCUCACCCCUCCUGACACCCUGUCCCUUGGGGGAGCACCUAACACCCCUGUGUCCACCUGAACCACACCAGCCCUAACGUGCUGAAUCCCCGCUAAAUGAGCCCAGUGCUCAUCCAUCCAUCCGCGCAUCCGUUGUUCAGUGGGGAAAGUAGCACGUAGCAGGUCCGAGCACAGGCUCUGCAGCCAGAAUUCCUGGGUUCCAUGCCUCACCCAGCCACGUAUUUGCUGUGUGACCUCAGGCAAGCUACUUAGCUUCUCCACGCACGUGUGCUCAUCUAGAAAACGAGGCUGAUGCUCGUGCCCACGUGGCAAUGUGAUGAGUAAUGCUAGUACUCAUCUCUGAGGGUGGAUGGGAGAGACACGCAAAGUGUUUGCAAGGGGGCCGGCACCUGGGAGCACUCAUACAUGUUGGCUGUCACUGUCAUGGAGCACCACCGUGUGCCGGGCUCUGCUUGGUGCUCCUGGGCUGCUCACAUGAGCAAGGUGCUGACUCUGCCAAGGAAGGGUGCUUUUUUUUUCUUUUGGAGAAAGAAAAGGGAUGCUUUCUGCUGCUCCCGCCCUGAAAACACUGCGUGCCCCUCUGCUCUUCUCCUACUAGGCUUGAGAAGCAAGACCAGCACACCCUGAGUUGGGGUGUUGCCUCCUAAGCCACUGGCCAGCAAUUCUGGGGGGGGGGGUGGGGACGCUGAAGAGAAUGCGGGGCUCUGCUGGUGCAGCAUGGACCCUCCUUGGUCUGGUGAGCUGGGAGAAGCAGGACAGCAUGGGGUCCAGUGAUACUAACCGUGUGGAAAUAGAACUCCUCCAGAUUACAGGGCACCUGAGAAUUUCUUACUGACUUUUGUUUAAUAAUUCAAAAACACAUCAAAUCAAACUUAAUCAAGGCAAAAGCUGUCUCUGGAGCCUUCUUCGUGCUUCCUGGAGUCAAGCUCUUACAGAAUCACGGCAGCACCCCCCUCCCUAGCUCACGAAGGAAGCUGGAGGACUCCACAGCUGCUUCAGGAAACAGACUGUCCCCAGGGAACCCUUCAGAGAUCUUGGGACCAGACAGGAUGUACCUGGACUCCUGGAAUUCCCUCUCCAGCCUCCAGGUCCCGUGAGGAUGUGAGCUGGAGCAGUACGGGCUUCCCUGAUCCUUCCUGUGUCCAGACAGCCAACAUGUGCCGCGGGAGCCCUGAGAUGAUUCCGAUGCACGGAGGGAGCCGGGAAACGCUGGUAUUUCUGCCUGUCACUUAUUAUCUGGUUGAGCUGGUGGCGGGAGUCCCGGCCCAUGUGUGUUACCAGAGGGAUGGUCUAGAGAAUGAAUCCAUCUGUCAGAGGCAUCCAAGAAGAAAGGCCUGGGCCAGGAUCACAUGGAAGACCCUGAAGACAGGAUCGGGUCUUGCCUGCCUGGAUUGAACAGAGACGCAGUGACCAGUCCCAUCUGCUCCCACCCUGCUGCCCUCUGAAUCGAGAGUUUGAGGCCAUGACCAGGGUAACGUUCAGCUGGUAGAGACAACACAACCCUGCUGGCUGUUUAAGCCAUGCUGGAGUGGUGCUCACAGGGUAACAAUUUUCAAGUGCUACGGAUGCAAUAGCUCAGCGACUGGCAGCGCAGCACGUACCUGCUGUCGUGGGAGGUGAGAGCCACCAGUGCCCGACAGCGGCUGCAAGGCAGUGGUGGCGCUCUGCAGCCAGCCGGCCCACCCCUCCAACAUCUGCAAGGGGGUGGGAGGCUGCCUCACCAAGCUACCUGCUACUCAUGGGGGCGAUGGGCAUCAGGGUGGCCUGCCUGGAGCCCCGAGAGCACAUAGAAGCUGCCAGAUGAGGGCAGUGAGGCCGAGGGCCGGCAGUAGGGCUGCAGAUGCCCUGAGCCCUAAGGUCAAGGUGGAUGGAACUGCUGUGUAAGUCUGAUGCCGAGGAGACCAGGUCGUUGGGCUUUCAGCCCUGCGGCCGCCAAGUCUCAGGUUAGAGCUCCCUCUCGCGGCCGAUGCUGGGCACUACAUUGCCCAAGACCCAGGUGGGCCGAAGUCUUGAGAAAGGGCUCGCAGUCAUCGUCGCCAGCAGGCAGACACCAGGCACCUACCUCCCCGACAUACCCAGCCUGGUACCUCGAAGACCAGUAGCCUUGAGCUACACUUGGGAUUCCCAAUACAGUUUCAAAACCGUCUAGCUCAUCUUUCAGGAACCUUCCAGGGUUCACAUUCUGAUUUUUCAGUAAGGUUCUCACCUCUGUGACCAAUUACCUUGAGACUGAUGUCCUGCACCAUCCUGGAGUGUUGGGAUCUGCAGGUCGUGAAAAGGGAAACCAAGCAAUCACUUUGGAAUGACUUCCUGGAACUUCCCUGGCCCCUCCUUCGUGUUCUCUGAUGACAGCCAGGAGCUGACUCAGAAACCUCAUAAGAAGCUGAAGGCAUGACGACUUCCCUGUUAAAAAAAAAAUGUCCCACGUGUGGCCGAGUGCCACACCCAGGCAGCUGCCGAAAAAAAGCACCAGACACCAUGCAGCUGGGCCCCAGGGCCCGGCCCAACCCGGUUGGCCUUCUCCGGCACCUGCAGGGAACUUGUCCUGUCUUGUCUCUGCUCGCCCCCUGCUGGCUGCCUGGAGCCAUUCCGUGCUGGUUUCUUCGCGUCUUCUGUCAGGAGAGAGAUGCUGAUGCUUACUCAGGGAUCCGGCGGCUGUGACCCUGAGGCCCCGAGGUGGAUUAACAGAGCCCUCAGCACCGAGUCUCCAAGCUGAAGGCAGUGGUCACACUCCCUGCUGCCCUCCAGGUUUGGAGGGAUGGAGAGGAGAGAGGAGGGGAAGAAGCUACCUUCUUCACUAGCCUUGCUGAGAGACAAGUGGGUACGGCCCACAGGCACCUCCACCAGCCUGCCCUCUACAUCCAGAUUCGCAAG
RNAcentral lists this long non-coding RNA (5775 nucleotides) under Homo sapiens (human). RNAcentral describes it as "non-protein coding lnc-CRACR2A-3:3". The record is from RNAcentral. Lineage: Eukaryota; Metazoa; Chordata; Mammalia; Primates; Hominidae.